AUCCAGACUCCUACGGGAGGCAGCAGUGGGGAAUAUUGCACAAUGGGGGAAACCCUGAUGCAGCAACGCCGCGUGAGUGAAGAAGGUUUUCGGAUUGUAAAGCUCUGUUAGCAGGGAAGAGGAAGGACGGUACCUGCAGAGGAAGCCACGGCUAACUACGUGCCAGCAGCCGCGGUAAUACGUAGGGGGCAAGCGUUAUCCGGAUUUACUGGGUGUAAAGGGAGCGUAGACGGCAGAGCAAGUCUGAAGUGAAAGCCCGCGGCCCAACUGCGGGACUGCUUUGGAAACUGCCCGGCUAGAGUGCUGGAGAGGUAAGCGGAAUUCCUAGUGUAGCGGUGAAAUGCGUAGAUAUUAGGAGGAACACCAGUGGCGAAGGCGGCUUACUGGACAGUAACUGACGUUGAGGCUCGAAAGCGUGGGGAGCAAACAGGAUUAGAUACCCGCGUA
RNAcentral lists this ribosomal RNA (447 nucleotides) under uncultured bacterium. RNAcentral's name for it is "bacterial SSU rRNA". It matches the Rfam family "Bacterial small subunit ribosomal RNA", at positions 329 to 792 of the family's 1533-position model. The record is from RNAcentral.